ACUAGUCGAGUUUCUCGUC
This 19-nucleotide microRNA is filed under the name Spodoptera frugiperda (fall armyworm). Its description in RNAcentral is "sfr-miR-10461a-3p". The record is from miRBase by way of RNAcentral. Lineage: Eukaryota; Metazoa; Arthropoda; Insecta; Lepidoptera; Noctuidae.